RNAcentral lists this long non-coding RNA (248 nucleotides) under Vigna radiata. RNAcentral's name for it is "long non-coding RNA (VRAD_LNC015673)". The record is from RNAcentral. Lineage: Eukaryota; Viridiplantae; Streptophyta; Magnoliopsida; Fabales; Fabaceae.
GUUGCAACUUGAAAUGGGGUUCCUUGGAGUGUGUUCACGGUUUUGGAGGUGGGAAGAAACAUUUUGAAAGUUUGGUUGUUGAAGAAAAACGAAAAUGGAGUGGAGAAGGAAGAGAGAAGGUGUAAUUAAUUUUUUACCCGAUUUGGCCAAGCACAAAUGGAGCUACUUUUGANNAAGGGAACAUUUCCUCUUUAAGUUUUGUCCUAAAGCUUGUUUAAUUACCCCUUUGUUUUGCAUUAAUUUGCAUU